AACGAACGCUGGCGGCAUGCCUAACACAUGCAAGUCGAACGAGACCUUCGGGUCUAGUGGCGCACGGGUGCGUAACGCGUGGGAACCUGCCCUUAGGUUCGGAAUAACUCCCCGAAAGGGGUGCUAAUACCGGAUAAUGUCUUCGGACCAAAGAUUUAUCGCCUUUGGAUGGGCCCGCGUUGGAUUAGCCGGUUGGUAGGGUAAAAGCCUAUCAAGGCGACGAUCCAUAGCUGGUCGGAGAGGAUGAUCAGCCACACUGGGACUGAGACACGGCCCAGACUCCGACGGGAGGCAGCAGUGGGGAAUAUUGGACGAUGGGGGAAGGCCUGAUCCAGCAAUGCCGCGUGAGUGAUGAAGGCCUUAGGGUUGUAAAGCUCUUUUACCCGGGAUGAUAAUGACAGUACCGGGAGAAUAAGCUCCGGCUAACUCCGUG
RNAcentral lists this ribosomal RNA (433 nucleotides) under uncultured bacterium. RNAcentral's name for it is "partial 16S ribosomal RNA". It matches the Rfam family "Bacterial small subunit ribosomal RNA", at positions 29 to 507 of the family's 1533-position model. The record is from RNAcentral.